GACGAACGCUGGCGGCGUGCUUAACACAUGCAAGUCGAACGGAAAGGCCCUGCUUUUGUGGGGUGCUCGAGUGGCGACCGGGUGAGUAACACGUGAGUAACCUGUCCUUGACUUUGGGAUAACUUCAGGAAACUGGGGCUAAUACCGGAUAGGAGCUCCUGCUGCAUGGUGGGGGUUGGAAAGUUUCGGCGGUUGGUGAUGGACUGGCGGCUUAUCAGCUUGUUGGUUGGGUAGUGGCUGACCAAGGCUUUGCCGGGUAGCAGGCCUGAGAGGGUGACCGGACACGCUGGGCUUGAGAUGCGACACAGACUCGAACGGGAGGCAAGGGUGGAGAAUAUUAUACUAUAGGCGGAAGGCUGAUGCAGUCAAGCCGCGCGGGGGAUGAGGUGAUUCGGGUUGUGAACCGCUUUCGCCUGAGACGAAGCGUGAGUGACGGUAAUGGGUGAAGAAGCACCGGCUAACUACGUG
RNAcentral lists this ribosomal RNA (468 nucleotides) under uncultured bacterium. RNAcentral's name for it is "partial 16S ribosomal RNA". It matches the Rfam family "Bacterial small subunit ribosomal RNA", at positions 28 to 507 of the family's 1533-position model. The record is from RNAcentral.